GAUAAACGCUGGCGGCGUGCAUAACACAUGCAAGUCGAACGAUGAAACUCUUUAGAAUUCUCCGGAAGGACAAAGAAUGGAUUAGUGGCGGACGGGUGAGUAACGCGUGAGUAACCUGCCUUGCACAAGGGGAUAGCCGUUGGAAACGACGAAUAAUACCCUAUGAUAUAAACUCUUCGCAUGAAGGGCUUAUCAAAGAUUUAUCGGUGUAAGAUGGACUCGCGUCUGAUUAGCUAGUUGGUGGGGUAACAGCCUACCAAGGCAACGAUCAGUAGCCGGACUGAGAGGUUGAACGGCCACAUUGGGACUGAGACACGGCCCAG
RNAcentral lists this ribosomal RNA (323 nucleotides) under uncultured bacterium. RNAcentral describes it as "bacterial SSU rRNA". It matches the Rfam family "Bacterial small subunit ribosomal RNA", at positions 28 to 334 of the family's 1533-position model. The record is from RNAcentral.